Molecule: transfer RNA, 71 nt
Filed under: Loxodonta africana (African savanna elephant)
Lineage: Eukaryota; Metazoa; Chordata; Mammalia; Proboscidea; Elephantidae
Rfam family: tRNA
About the family: Transfer RNA (tRNA) molecules are approximately 80 nucleotides in length.
Source: Rfam by way of RNAcentral
GCUGUGGUGGGUCAGUGGUAGAGUCCUUGCCUUCCAAGCAGGAGACCUGGGUUCGAUUCCCAGCCAAUGCA